UGCCUAUGUGAGAGCAUACGUAUUUAAGAGAUAAUGUGGAAGUAAAUCUUUGCAAUAUUUAGUGAUCAAUUAAAUUGGGAGAUCAAGGAUUGUUCCCUAACUUCUAGUGGUAAGACUAUUGUUUUAAAAUUCCUUCAGAACUAUCACAAGUGAUUGAAAAGCUUUUGAAAAACCCAAGACAAGAAUACUUAAAGAGGGAAGCAGUGGCAGUAAUAGGAGUGGACCAGGCAGACACUACAAGAAGCAGACAGAGAUAUUUAUUCUGUGACCACAGUGUGCUGCUUAAUACUCACCAGAGAAAAACAUAACAGGAACAUAAGAGGACUGAAAGCUAAGUUCUGUAUCCUUUGAGAGCUGAUGCCUAAUUAGAGAGAACACACAUACAUAACAGCAGGAACAGUUAAGGAUAUAAAUACUAGCACAUUGGUUUAUUCCUAAUUUGCCUGGAUAACGUUACGGUGUUUCUCACAGUAGGAAUCCAUCACUCUGUUUUCAGGAGUAGUGGCAGGUGAAGAGUGCGCACACGUGGGCAUGUUUUUUGUUGAAUUUGAAGGAGAAGAUUAACUUACAAAGGACCCCAGGAGGAGAUAAAUUAGAAGAAGAGAUAAGAAAUGUGGAGUGGAAAGAGCAAAUUUAGAGGUAAGACAGAGCAAGUGGAGUUCAAACAUAGCAAGAAGAAAGUUUAACAGUAUUCCCCAGCUGGCAAAACACUGCUACUCUCACAAAAGCUUCCCUUGCUGGAGACCCCAAAGCACCAAGAGCAUGGUGGUCUACUGUCCAUAAUCAGGAUUCUUAUUAUUCAGCCAGACUUAUGCUUGCUUGGGAGCUGAUUCCUACAAUACUCGUCUAAUGCUCUCCACCUUGGGUUCACAGUCUUGGGCAUAGCAGAGCAGCUGGUGGGUAUUUUUGUCUGCUAGUAAUGGUAGCACUUACUCGGAUCUGGCUGAAAAGCCCAUGAGAGUAUUUCAGGCAUGGAAAGCCGAGACACUCUGGCAAAAAGAUCUCUGUGAGUGAGAUCCCAGUGGAAAGAACAGGUCUUCAAAGAAGGAGGUACCUUUCUCUGAAGGGAGG
Molecule: long non-coding RNA, 1071 nt
Filed under: Oryctolagus cuniculus (rabbit)
Lineage: Eukaryota; Metazoa; Chordata; Mammalia; Lagomorpha; Leporidae
Description: lncRNA (ENSOCUG00000037973.1)
Source: RNAcentral